This is a long non-coding RNA of Varroa destructor (honeybee mite), 272 nucleotides long. Lineage: Eukaryota; Metazoa; Arthropoda; Arachnida; Mesostigmata; Varroidae. The record is from RefSeq and is a predicted model, not a curated record.
GGGAAUCUUAAUAACCACUACGUCCAGUAGCCGCUCCUCGCGAAGAACGCUUACCAAAUCAUCAAUAUCGAAGACGCCAGUUUCACCGCGUGAGGAGUGUUGCGCAAACUCUAGAUUAUUGAACCUGUCUAGAUAUGCUGCCAGAAGUGCAUUAUGUCCCUUCAGCCUUCACUGGAUUUUACUAGAGUUCGUUGAGAUAACCUCGUGUUUCGUGAUCUGGCUCCCCAAGCUUUUCAAGAAGCUUUCGCUCCUCAUCCGUCAUCGGUACCUUU